CGGUGGAGUAUGUGGUUUAAUUCGAUGCAACGCGAAGAACCUUACCUGGUCUUGACAUCCCGGAGACCCUUAGGAACUAGGGGUGCUUCCAUCUGGAAGAAUCUGGAGACAGGUGCUGCAUGGCUGUCGUCAGCUCGUGUCGUGAGAUGUUGGGUUAAGUCCCGCAACGAGCGCAACCCUUGCCUUUAGUUGCCAGCAGUUCGGCUGGGCACUCUAAAGGGACUGCCGGUGUUAAACCGGAGGAAGGUGGGGAUGACGUCAAGUCCUCAUGGCCUUUAUGACCAGGGCUACGCACGUACUACAAUGGCCGAUACAAAGGGCAGCGACACUGCGAGGUGAAGCCAAUCCCGUAAAAUCGGUCUCAGUCCGGAUUGGAGUCUGCAACUCGACUCCAUGAAGUUGGAAUCGCUAGUAAUCGUGGAUCAGCAUGCCACGGUGAAUACGUUCCCGGGCCUU
RNAcentral lists this ribosomal RNA (456 nucleotides) under uncultured Desulfobulbus sp. Its description in RNAcentral is "bacterial SSU rRNA". It matches the Rfam family "Bacterial small subunit ribosomal RNA", at positions 930 to 1382 of the family's 1533-position model. Lineage: Bacteria; Pseudomonadati; Thermodesulfobacteriota; Desulfobulbia; Desulfobulbales; Desulfobulbaceae. The record is from RNAcentral.